GCUUAGUUAGCUUGGGGGGUAGUGCGUCUGCCUUGUAAGCACUAGGUCGCGGGUUUGAUUCCCGCCCAGGGCG
This 73-nucleotide transfer RNA is filed under the name Diaphorina citri (Asian citrus psyllid). It matches the Rfam family "tRNA". From Rfam's summary of the family: Transfer RNA (tRNA) molecules are approximately 80 nucleotides in length. Their secondary structure includes four short double-helical elements and three loops (D, anti-codon, and T loops). Lineage: Eukaryota; Metazoa; Arthropoda; Insecta; Hemiptera; Psyllidae. The record is from Rfam by way of RNAcentral.